AUAUUCCUGGGAUGUUCGACAACCCUACUAUUUUGAACCUACAUUUACUUUUACGGGUUUCUUAUAUUGCCGAUUGGAUGUCAAGCCGUCAUAUUGCAGCGGAAGACAGAAGAGAGGCUGCAGUUACCCACCUAGCUCUGGCUAGGCGUCAAAAUUGUAGGAAACGGCAUUUUGGGUUUUUC
RNAcentral lists this non-coding RNA (182 nucleotides) under Lachnospiraceae bacterium. RNAcentral describes it as "6S RNA". It matches the Rfam family "6S / SsrS RNA". From Rfam's summary of the family: E. coli 6S RNA was the first non coding RNA to be sequenced, but its function was unknown until recently. It consists of 184 nucleotides that fold into an extended hairpin structure with a large single-stranded internal bulge. The 6S RNA specifically associates with RNA polymerase holoenzyme containing the sigma70 specificity factor. Lineage: Bacteria; Bacillati; Bacillota; Clostridia; Lachnospirales; Lachnospiraceae. The record is from RNAcentral. RNAcentral also lists the same sequence under 1 other name.